Molecule: ribosomal RNA, 253 nt
Filed under: uncultured bacterium
Lineage: Bacteria
Description: partial 16S ribosomal RNA
Rfam family: Bacterial small subunit ribosomal RNA
Source: RNAcentral
UACGUAGGUGGCAAGCGUUAUCCGGAAUUACUGGGCGUAAAGCGCACGCAGGUGGUUGGAUAAGAUUGACGUGAAAGCUUCUGGCUUAACUGGAAGAGGUCGUUGAUGACUGUCCGACUUGAGACGAGGAGAGGGGUGCAGAAUUCCCGGUGUAGUGGUGGAAUGCGUAGAUAUCGGGAGGAAUACCAGUGGCGAAAGCGGCACCCUGGCCUUAGUCUGACGCUCAGGUGCGAAAGCGUGGGGAGCAAACGGG